RNAcentral lists this ribosomal RNA (253 nucleotides) under uncultured bacterium. RNAcentral describes it as "partial 16S ribosomal RNA". It matches the Rfam family "Bacterial small subunit ribosomal RNA", at positions 524 to 776 of the family's 1533-position model. The record is from RNAcentral.
UACGUAGGGUGCAAGCGUUAAUCGGAAUUACUGGGCGUAAAGCGUGCGCAGGCGGUUUCGUAAGCCAGACGUGAAAUCCCCGGGCUUAACCUGGGAACUGCGUUUGGGACUGCGAGGCUGGAGUGUGGCAGAGGGAGGUGGAAUUCCACAUGUAGCAGUGAAAUGCGUAGAUAUGUGGAGGAACACCGAUGGCGAAGGCAGCCUCCUGGGCUAACACUGACGCUCAUGCACGAAAGCGUGGGGAGCAAACAGG